This is a non-coding RNA of Aegilops tauschii subsp. strangulata, 2933 nucleotides long. NCBI's taxonomy places the organism in Eukaryota, Viridiplantae, Streptophyta, Magnoliopsida, Poales, Poaceae. The record is from RefSeq and is a predicted model, not a curated record.
UUAUGUUUUUUUUUACAUUUUGUGAUGUUGAUGUUGUGGUCCCAAAAUGCUUAUUUUGCCAUGUUUUCCUUGUUCACUUCACAAGAUUAUGUAUUCAUGCUGAUAGUAUGUUACUCUUUCUAGGACCGAUAAUUCUAUAAAGAAUCAUUGGAAUAUGUUUUUUACAUUUUGCGAUGCUGAUGUCUGCAGUCCCAAAAUACUUAUUUAGUCAUGUUUUCCUUGUUCACUUCACAAGUUUUCAUGUUGAUAGUAUGUUACUCUUUCCAGGACAGAUAAUUCUAUAAAGAAUCAUUGGAAUAUUUCUUUGAGAAAGACGUUAGAUGUCUAUAGCACCAGAAAUAUUUUGGCGAUUCCAAGACUAAUUGGCCUUAAUGACUUACGGAUAAACAGAAGACGGCUGCUUCUGAGUGCCAUCUUGAUCUGAACAGCUCAUCAUUCUAAUCUUAGCUCACCUCUACAGUCAUACAAACUGGCAUGCCAAGGACUGCUCAGGGUUCCUAUCGCUUUCUGUUUUACCAACUAAGGUAAUCAAAUUUUGAUCUUCAGCUUGCAAAUUUAUCACCUUAUGGGAGGGAAAGGUUUUGCAUGUACAUGAGCUCUGAUUUUCUACAUAUAUACUUGAAUUGCCUUGGAUUUGUCGGAUUACUAUUCUACAUGAUGUUCUCCAUGAUUCACUUGAUUUGUUAAUUUGAGUAUUUUCCUGGUGAGUUCUUUAGGUUCAUCUUGUGACACAAAAUACAAUUUUGGUACGUGCAGACUCUGAAAUUUGGUGAUAAAGAAGGUACCUCCUAAUUUGCUCUCAGGCUCUCUUACACUUGUCUUUGUUUAUAUAACAGUAGUAGCCGUUGGGUAAUGCAGAGAGAGGUUUGGAAUCGAAGAACUAAAAUAAUGCAGAGGUUAAGGUUCUGAUCGGGAAGCUUGAACAAAUAGUUUACUUUUUCUCUUGUCUUCGAUUAGUUUCAUCCUAUCUAUGCUGUUUCUUGGGUGCAAACACUCCAUUGUGUCUGUGUGACUGUGUGUGACCGUGACUGUGUGUGUGACUGACUGUUUGUGUGUGUGACUGACUGUGUGUGUGUUUCUUUGUCUGUUUCUUGUGUGCAAGCGCUCCAUUGUGUGUGUGUGUGUGUGUUUUGACUGUGACUGUGUAUUGAUUGUGACUGUGUGAAUGUCUCUGUGUGUGUGUUGACUGACUGUGUGUCAUUGUGCAAGCGCUCCAUAACUACCAGUUGGCACCUGAUAAUGCAUGGAUAUUUCUAUAUAAGGUCAUGGGCAUGUAAUUUUUAUGACCUACAUACCUCUGUAGUUGGUAGUAUCAUUGCCCUUUGGACACUCUUCAAUGCAUUGCUGUAUAUUUUCCUGCCACAAGUAUGAUGUUUGUGCUCAGAAUGAUGUAUAUGUAGAAUCCAGGGGUGGAUGGAGGUUUUCAUGAUGGCUAAUCUGAUUUGUUAUGGUUCUGAUGGUGUGCUUCUGGUGUUUGAACUGAACCCGUGGAUCACCCAUCAACCUGGUCUGUGUUUGUAUGGUAAUCCCUCUCGAAUUUAACUCCUUCCAAUUUUGUACACAAUAUUUAUCUCACGGCUGGUAAUACCUUAUGAAUGCAUAUCACACAUUUUAGCUAGUUAUAUAGUAAUGCCAUACUCCUUUGGACGUUCUGUAUAUUCAAGUGUGGUGAGCUCACAUAUUGUGUCAGUAUCUACCUACGCAGCUGAAUUAUUUCCGGAUAGGACAGAGGUGCAAUGUUUACAUCCAUGGCAGAAGGUUCUUUUUCAAAGGUCCUUGGACUCAAGAGGAAGAUGACAAAAUUAUCGACCUUGUAAACAAGUACUCCCUCCGUUCCAAAAUUGGGUAUUCUUUUGAUAUAACUAACAAAAUAGUCUCAUUGCAAGGCCAGCUACCAGAACUUCCUGUUGAUGAUCCUGGGAUGUUUACGAACAUGCUCCCGAACAUGUUCAAUUUAUCCGCCCUAGUACAGCCAUGACACAGCAGGUUACUCGGCAUGCUCGGUGUGUUUACUUCGGUGGACUUCCUCCGAUCGCUAAUGAACAGACGGUUACUCUAUUGUUCAAUCAAGUUAUGGCUGCUAUCGGGGAAACUCAUUUGGUCUGGGUGAUGCAGUUGUUAAUAUGAAGCUGAUUUUUGAAUUCAUUCAAAACAUCUUAGGUGGCAUAAUCAUGAAUCCAACCAUAUGGAACGAUGCUUGGACUACUGAGGAGGAACAUGCACUGAUUAAUUAUGGGAAUAAAUGAGCAGAAAUAGCAGAAGUUAUUCCUGGAAGGUACUGCAUGCCAAACAACUUACAUCAUGGAUCUUGCUUGUAGUAUUAGCUUUCUGUUUGUGCCCUUUCUAUCUCUUGUGUGUGUGUGACUGACUGUGUGUGUGUGUGUGACUCUGUGUAUGUGUGACUGUUACUCUGUGUGCGUGACUGACUCUGUGUGACUGUUACUCUGUGUGUGUGACCGACUCUGUGUGACUGUUACUCUGUGUGACUGUUACUCCGUGUGUGUGACUGACUCUGUGUGACUGUGACUCUGUGUGACCGACUGUGUGUGCUUGAUGGUGUGUCCUGUAUGCUUUGCUUGAUGAUGUGUCCUGUAUGCUUUGCUUGAGUGAUUGUUGUGGUUUAACACUGCCUUUGCCGGUCCCAAGCCCGGAUGUGAAAAUGUGGAGGGAGCUGCAUUGAUACUGCAUUUGCUUGAUGGUGUGUCCUGUAUGCUUUGCUUGAAUGAUUGGUGUUGUAUAAUUUGUGUUUUGUAUUGUUGUGGUUUAACACUGCCUUUGCCGGUCCCAAGCCUGGAUGUGAAAAUGUGGAGGGAGAUGCAGUAGUUACCUUCUUUGUAUUGUUUGCAUUACCUUCUUUGUAUUGUUUGCAUUACACACAAUUUGCACUACCUUCUUUGUGGUUAUUGCCCUGAUCGAAAUAGUGGAUCUUCACA